CUCUGGGAGGCCCAGGUGGCUCUGCAGCAGUCUCUGCCACCCUGUGACCUGCGGGUAUUGGGACAUCCCUAGCUGACUCCAGGACACCCGGGAAGCCGAGGAGUGCCCGAGCUUUUAUUCCUCGGAGACACAUCGAUGGUCUGCCAAUCGGAUGCUGAUAUUGAGAGGAAAAGGCAGAAAUGAUUUCUGCUCUCUAGACUGUCUCAGACUUGUGAAGAGAGAAAAACUGUCCCAAAGGACAAGGAAAACCCACCCCAGAGAGGACGUGGAAGAACCUGAAUAUGAAAAUGCACUUAAGGCGCACAGGAGGACAAAGAGCAGUGCCAGUGCCUCCUAGGUGGUCACUGAGCACUUUACUGAACAGGAUGGGUGUCCUGAGGGAUAGAAUGGCCUGCCGUGACACUUAGAAAGGACUCCGUGGCUUUUGAGGAUGUGGCUGUGAACUUUACCCAGGAGGAAUGGGCUUUGCUAGAUUCUUCUCAGAAGAAUCUCUGCAUAGAAGUGAUGCAGGAAACCUGCAGGAACCUGGCUUCUGUAGAAAUCAUAUGGUACAGAGACUGUGUGAAAGCAAAGAAGGUAGUCAGUAUGAUGGACGAGUUGUCAGCCAAAUUCCGAAUCUUGAUCUGAAUGAGAACAUUUCUGCUGGAUGAAAACAAUGUGAAUGCAGUAUUUGUGGAAAAGUCUUUGUACGUCAUUCCCUCCUUAAUAGGCACAUCCUAGCUCAGGAUACAAACCAUAUGGAGAGAAGCAAUAUAAAUGUGAACAGUGUGGGAAAUUCUUCGUUUCUGUUCCAGGUGUUAGAAGACACAUGAUAAUGCACAAUGGAAAUCCGGCUUAUAAAUGUACGAUAUGUGGGAAAGCUUUUUAUUUUCUCAAUUCAUUUGAAAGACAUCAGAGAACUCACACAGGACAAAAACCCUAUAAAUGUAAACAAUGUGGUAAAGCGUUCACUGU
This 954-nucleotide long non-coding RNA is filed under the name Piliocolobus tephrosceles (Ugandan red Colobus). Its description in RNAcentral is "lncRNA (ENSPTEG00000038382.1)". Lineage: Eukaryota; Metazoa; Chordata; Mammalia; Primates; Cercopithecidae. The record is from RNAcentral.